This 1965-nucleotide long non-coding RNA is filed under the name Sus scrofa (pig). RNAcentral describes it as "lncRNA (ENSSSCG00060076274.1)". The record is from RNAcentral. Lineage: Eukaryota; Metazoa; Chordata; Mammalia; Artiodactyla; Suidae.
CCCCCGCCCCGCCCCGGGAAAGGAGUGUGCACGCGCUUCGGGUGCGUGAAGGUGGAGGGUGAGAAGGCUAGCACCCCUUGCGCUGGCCUCCGGCACGUUUCUAUCUGCUGUGGGGAAUUGGGAAGAAGAGCUUUGAGCCACUCGCUCUGCCAGGUAAUGUGGCUACGACACGGCCCGCUGUAGCGCCGGGCCUGAAUCUUAAAUCUGAGGUUAAUUCUGAACGAUGCUCCGGCUUGCGGCCCCCUUCGCCUGACCCCGGCCGAACCACAGAGCCCUAUUCAGGCUUUGAGGGACUGAAGAGCUCAAGCGGCGCCCUUUGCCAAGUCCAUGCACACCACCGCUUCCGCCAGACACUCGGGUCUCUGAGGCACCUACUCUAAAUAAGAGCUCCACAGGGAGGGUGAGGCCAGUUCUCCCCUUUCCCAAGAAGAGUCUGAGACUGAAACCUUGAUGCUGAGAACACCUUUCCCCUUUCUGAUGCAAGCAGCUUGCAGAUUGUUAAUGCCGGAGCCUGAGGCAAGAAUGUCACAGACCUUUCCCAGGUGUUUGUUAAGGUUCUCCCAACAGGACGAUAAACUCAUCUGGAAGGCAGAGGGCCUGCCCAUUCAUAAACCUGUUGAUGUGGUCCCCAGAGUACCAGUUUAAGAUGGCAAGACCAACACUGUUGAUUCUGGGGCCAGAACUGGGACAAGUCCUUGAUCCGUCUACACUAGCUGUAUACACCAUCUACCUCCUGAGAGGAUUCAUUUUUCUUCCUAUUGCUAAAAAGGAGGAGUUGAGAAGAACUGGACCAAACAGCAGGUUGAGAGUACCCACAUCUGCCAAAGGGGCAGGGGGCUCAGAUGAAAUGAACAAAGUCAUGGCCCUCACGGGGUUCAGCUUCAUUGGAAAGACAGACCAGAAACCAACUCAUGACCAUGGGGAGAGCACCAUGAGGGUAUGGACAUGCUGCACGGACCCUAAAGGAGCAUGUUCUGAACUUGACUUGAGCUGAGCUGAGCCGGGGCGAAGGGGAGGCAGCCAAGGCAGACAUCUGAGAGGAGGUGCUGGCCCUGCAGCCACCUUUUAAAAGACGGUGUAAAACAUGGCUGUCUGUGCGGCGUGUGGAAGCAGGAAAGCGGGUGAGGUCGUGUCCGGGGCCGGAGCACAGUGUGCCUCAAGAGAGAGACCAGACAUCCCGUAAGAGGCAGAGAAGGCCCAUCGCUUUAAAAGCCUCAAGCGCAAUGCCAAGGAAUUCUAUCUUUAUUCUAAAACGAAUGGGCAGUCAUUAAAGGAUACUAAGCAGAAAAAUGCAUUGACUAGACAUGCAUGUUGGAAAAUGUACUUUGAUCAAAUUUGGUGUUGUUUAUGGUCAUUUCUAUAAAGUAUUUGGCAUUGGAAACUUAGUCAGGAACUUCACCCCCUAAUAGGACCAUUCUAAUUUCUUUAUAUUUCCUCUGAAAUUGACACCCGAAAUAAAGCUGACUUCCUAUGGAACUCUAUGCAUUUUCUGACUUUCCUUCCCUGGGCCACUCUGCUCCUUGGGGCCUCCUUUUGAAUCCAAGAAAUCAAUAUAAAAGUAAUUGAAUAUAAAUAAUCUAUCCACUUCUUUCCAUUCAUUUAUUUCUCAAGGCUAGUUUUUACAUGACUCUAUAUAGAAAAAAAAAUGUGACAAGGGACCGUCACUGUGUGUUUUAAAUGCAGACGAUAACUAAUGUUGAAGACAAUGAAAAAUAAGCCCAAAUUUCUAGUCUGUUAUAGGACACUGAUUGUAUUAGUCCAUGCAGAGGAAAUUUAGAAUCAAAACCAGUUAUAAAAAACAAACAUUAAAAACAGUUUGGGAGUUACCUUGCAGUGUAGUGAAUUAAGAAUCUGCUGUUGUCACUGCCACAGCUCAGGUCACUGCUGUGGCCUGGGUCCCAUCCCUGGCCUAGGAACUUCCACAUGCCAUGGGCAUGGCAAAAAAAAAAAAAAAAAAAAAAAAAA